GAUAACGUGUUGAGGAGAAGCUUUAUUGAUCAGUCGGAUUUAGCGAGCCUUGUAUUGGUGAAAGAAGGUAUCCUAGAUUAAUAAAAAUCAUCUCUGAGCGUAGUGAUUGAAAUUACAAUACAUAGUAAAUCACUUUGGGUGCACCCACUAUAGUGCUGACGAAUUGUUUUUUUAGUUCGAAUAGAGACUCACUUGUGAGUGAACAAAGGUGGUACCACGCGAAGGCGUCCUUUAG
RNAcentral lists this non-coding RNA (235 nucleotides) under Liquorilactobacillus cacaonum. RNAcentral describes it as "Lactobacillus cacaonum T-box sequence". It matches the Rfam family "T-box leader". Rfam says of the family: Uncharged tRNA acts as the effector for transcription antitermination of genes in the T-box leader family. T-boxes are found upstream of many aminoacyl-tRNA synthetase genes and some amino acid biosynthetic genes usually in Gram-positive bacteria. The anticodon of a specific tRNA base pairs to a specifier sequence within the T-box motif, and the NCCA acceptor tail of the tRNA base pairs to a conserved bulge in the T-box antiterminator hairpin. The record is from RNAcentral. Lineage: Bacteria; Bacillati; Bacillota; Bacilli; Lactobacillales; Lactobacillaceae.